Molecule: ribosomal RNA, 492 nt
Filed under: uncultured bacterium
Lineage: Bacteria
Description: partial 16S ribosomal RNA
Rfam family: Bacterial small subunit ribosomal RNA
Source: RNAcentral
AGUGAACGCUGGCGGUAGGCCUAACACAUGCAAGUCGAACGGCAGCACAGUAAGAGCUUGCUCUUACGGGUGGCGAGUGGCGGACGGGUGAGGAAUACAUCGGAAUCUACUUUUUCGUGGGGGAUAACGUAGGGAAACUUACGCUAAUACCGCAUACGACCUACGGGUGAAAGCAGGGGAUCUUCGGACCUUGCGCGAUUGAAUGAGCCGAUGUCGGAUUAGCUAGUUGGCGGGGUAAAGGCCCACCAAGGCGACGAUCCGUAGCUGGUCUGAGAGGAUGAUCAGACACACUGGAACUGAGACACUGUCCAGACUCCUACGGGAGGCAGCAGUGGGGAAUAUUGGACAAUGGGCGCAAGCCUGAUCCAGCCAUACCGCGUGGGUGAAGAAGGCCUUCGGGUUGUAAAGCCCUUUUGUUGGGAAAGAAAAGCAGCAGGUUAAUACCCCGCUGUUCUGACGGUACCCAAAGAAUAAGCACCGGCUAACUUCGUG